This 497-nucleotide ribosomal RNA is filed under the name uncultured bacterium. Its description in RNAcentral is "partial 16S ribosomal RNA". It matches the Rfam family "Bacterial small subunit ribosomal RNA", at positions 28 to 507 of the family's 1533-position model. The record is from RNAcentral.
GAUGAACGCUGGCGGCGUGCCUAAUACAUGCAAGUCGAGCGGACGGACGAGAAGCUCGCGUCUCUGAUGUUAGCGACGGGCGGGUGAGUAACACGUGGAUAACCUUCCACUUAGACUGGGAUAACUUCGGGAAACCGUAGCUACUACUGGAUAAUAUUUUGAACCGCAUGGUUCAAAAGUGAUUGACGGUCUUGCUGUCACUUAUAGCUGGUUCCGCGCUGGAUUAGCUAGUUGGUAGGGUCACGGCUUACCAAGGCAACGAUGCAUAGCCGACCUGAGAGGAUGAUCGGCCACACUGGAACUGAGACACGGUCCAGACUCCUACGGGAGGCAGCAGUAGGGAAUCUUGGGCAAUGGGCGAAAGCCUGACGCAGCAACACCGCGUGAGUGAUGAAGGCCUUCGGAUCGUAAAGCUCUGUUGUUGGGGAAGAACAUCUGUAGCUGUAGAUGUGGAUGUCUUGACGGUACCUAAACAAAAAGCCACGGCUAACUUCGUG